GAUGAACGCUGGCGGCGUGCCUAAUACAUGCAAGUCGAGCGAACGGACGAGAAGCUUGCUCCUCUGAUGUUAGCGGCGGACGGGUGAGUAACACGUGGAUAACCUACCUAUAAGACUGGGAUAACUUCGGGAAACCGUAGCUAAUACCGGAUAAUAUUUUGAACCGCAUGGUUCAAUAGUGAAAGACGGUCUUGCUGUCACUUAUAGAUGGAUCCGCGCUGCAUUAGCUAGUUGGUAAGGUAACGGCUUACCAAGGCAACGAUGCAUAGCCGACCUGAGAGGGUGAUCGGCCACACUGGAACUGAGACACGGUCCAGACUCCUACGGGAGGCAGCAGUAGGGAAUCUUCCGCAAUGGGCGAAAGCCUGACGGAGCAACGCCGCGUGAGUGAUGAAGGUCUUCGGAUCGUAAAACUCUGUUAUUAGGGAAGAACAAAUGUGUAAGUAACUAUGCACAUCUUGACGGUACCUAAUCAGAAAGCCACGGCUAACUACGUG
This 497-nucleotide ribosomal RNA is filed under the name uncultured bacterium. RNAcentral describes it as "partial 16S ribosomal RNA". It matches the Rfam family "Bacterial small subunit ribosomal RNA", at positions 28 to 507 of the family's 1533-position model. The record is from RNAcentral.